This 253-nucleotide ribosomal RNA is filed under the name uncultured bacterium. RNAcentral's name for it is "partial 16S ribosomal RNA". It matches the Rfam family "Bacterial small subunit ribosomal RNA", at positions 524 to 776 of the family's 1533-position model. The record is from RNAcentral.
UACGUAGGGUGCGAGCGUUAAUCGGAAUUACUGGGUGUAAAGCGUGCGCAGGCGGUCUUUUAAGCCAGAUGUGAAAUCCCCGGGCUUAACCUGGGAACUGCGUUUGGAACUGGAAGGCUAGAGUACGGCAGAGGGGGGUGGAAUUCCACGUGUAGCAGUGAAAUGCGUAGAGAUGUGGAGGAACACCGAUGGCGAAGGCAGCCCCCUGGGCCUGUACUGACGCUCAUGUAAGAAAGCGUGGGGAGCAAACCGG